Molecule: ribosomal RNA, 253 nt
Filed under: uncultured bacterium
Lineage: Bacteria
Description: partial 16S ribosomal RNA
Rfam family: Bacterial small subunit ribosomal RNA
Source: RNAcentral
GACGGAGGGUGCUAGCGUUGUUCGGAAUUACUGGGCGUAAAGGGCGCGUAGGCGGCUGCUAAAGUCGGGUGUGAAAGCCCGGGGCUCAACCCCGGAACGGCACCCGAGACUGGGCGGCUCGAGACCGGGAGAGGUGGGUGGAAUACCCAGUGUAGAGGUGAAAUUCGUAGAUAUUGGGUGGAACACCGGUGGCGAAAGCGGCUCACUGGCCCGGUUCUGACGCUGAGGCGCGAAAGCGUGGGGAGCAAACAGG